AUACGGAGGGUGCGAGCGUUGUUCGGAAUCACUGGGCGUAAAGCGCGUGUAGGCGGUCCGCUAAGUCUGAUGUGAAAGCCCGGGGCUCACCCCCGGAAGUGCAUUGGAAACUGGCGGACUGGAGUCCCGGAGAGGAGGGUGGAAUUCCUGGUGUAGCGGUGAAAUGCGUAGAUAUCAGGAGGAACACCGGUGGCGAAGGCGGCCCUCUGGACGGUGACUGACGCUGGGACGCGAAAGCGUGGGGAGCAAACAGGAUUAGAUACCCUGGUAGUUCACGCCGUAAACGAUGAGCACUAGGUGUCGCGGGUAUUGACCCCUGCGGUGCCGCCGCUAACGCAUUAAGUGCUCCGCCUGGGGACUACGGCCGCAAGGUUAAA
RNAcentral lists this ribosomal RNA (377 nucleotides) under uncultured bacterium. RNAcentral describes it as "bacterial SSU rRNA". It matches the Rfam family "Bacterial small subunit ribosomal RNA", at positions 523 to 898 of the family's 1533-position model. The record is from RNAcentral.